This 492-nucleotide ribosomal RNA is filed under the name uncultured bacterium. RNAcentral's name for it is "partial 16S ribosomal RNA". It matches the Rfam family "Bacterial small subunit ribosomal RNA", at positions 29 to 507 of the family's 1533-position model. The record is from RNAcentral.
AGUGAACGCUGGCGGUAGGCCUAACACAUGCAAGUCGAACGGCAGCACAGUAAGAGCUUGCUCUUACGGGUGGCGAGUGGCGGACGGGUGAGGAAUACAUCGGAAUCUACUUUUUCGUGGGGGAUAACGUAGGGAAACUUACGCUAAUACCGCAUACGACCUACGGGUGAAAGCAGGGGAUCUUCGGACCUUGCGCGAUUGAAUGAGCCGAUGUCGGAUUAGCUAGUUGGCGGGGUAAAGGCCCACCAAGGCGACGAUCCGUAGCUGGUCUGAGAGGAUGAUCAGCCACACUGGAACUGAGACACGGGCCAGACUCCUACGGGAGGCAGCAGUGGGGAAUACUGGACAAUGGGCGCAAGCCUGAUCCAGCCAUACCGCGUGGGUGAAGAAGGCCUUCGGGUUGUAAAGCCCUUUUGUUGGGAAAGAAAAGCAGCAGGUUAAUACCCCGCUGUUCUGACGGUACCCAAAGAAUAAGCACCGGCUAACUUCGUG